GACGAACGCUGGCGGCGUGCCUAAUACAUGCAAGUAGAACGCUGAAGGAGGAGCUUGCUUCUCUGGAUGAGUUGCGAACGGGUGAGUAACGCGUAGGUAACCUGCCUGGUAGCGGGGGAUAACUAUUGGAAACGAUAGCUAAUACCGCAUAAGAGUAGAUGUUGCAUGACAUUUGCUUAAAAGGUGCAAUUGCAUCACUACCAGAUGGACCUGCGUUGUAUUAGCUAGUUGGUGGGGUAACGGCUCACCAAGGCGACGAUACAUAGCCGACCUGAGAGGGUGAUCGGCCACACUGGGACUGAGACACGGCCCAGACUCCUACGGGAGGCAGCAGUAGGGAAUCUUCGGCAAUGGACGGAAGUCUGACCGAGCAACGCCGCGUGAGUGAAGAAGGUUUUCGGAUCGUAAAGCUCUGUUGUAAGAGAAGAACGAGUGUGAGAGUGGAAAGUUCACACUGUGACGUAUCUACCAGAAAGGAC
RNAcentral lists this ribosomal RNA (479 nucleotides) under Streptococcus mitis. Its description in RNAcentral is "bacterial SSU rRNA". It matches the Rfam family "Bacterial small subunit ribosomal RNA", at positions 28 to 493 of the family's 1533-position model. Lineage: Bacteria; Bacillati; Bacillota; Bacilli; Lactobacillales; Streptococcaceae. The record is from RNAcentral.